ACGAACGCUGGAGGCGUGCUUAACACAUGCAAGUCGUACGGUAAGGCCCUUUCGGGGGUACACGAGUGGCGAACGGGUGAGUAACACGUGAGUAACCUGCCCACAACUUUGGGAUAACGCUAGGAAACUGGUGCUAAUACUGGAUAUGUGCUCCUGCUGCAUGGUGGGGGUUGGAAAGCUCCGGCGGUUGUGGAUGGACUCGCGGCCUAUCAGCUUGUUGGUGGGGUAGUGGCCUACCAAGGCGGCGACGGGUAGCCGGCCUGAGAGGGUGACCGGCCACAUUGGGACUGAGAUACGGCCCAGACUCCUACGGGAGGCAGCAGUGGGGAAUAUUGCACAAUGGGCGCAAGCCUGAUGCAGCAACGCCGCGUGCGGGAUGACGGCCUUCGGGUUGUAAACCGCUUUCAGCAGGGACGAAGCUUUUUGUGACGGUACCUGCAGAAGAAGCACCGGCUAACUACGUG
Molecule: ribosomal RNA, 464 nt
Filed under: uncultured bacterium
Lineage: Bacteria
Description: partial 16S ribosomal RNA
Rfam family: Bacterial small subunit ribosomal RNA
Source: RNAcentral